UUUCCGAUGCCUCCCAUUCCUA
This 22-nucleotide microRNA is filed under the name Brachypodium distachyon (stiff brome). RNAcentral describes it as "bdi-miR2118a". The record is from miRBase by way of RNAcentral. Lineage: Eukaryota; Viridiplantae; Streptophyta; Magnoliopsida; Poales; Poaceae.